Molecule: long non-coding RNA, 2200 nt
Filed under: Homo sapiens (human)
Lineage: Eukaryota; Metazoa; Chordata; Mammalia; Primates; Hominidae
Description: HSALNT0011087
Source: RNAcentral
AUGGGAGCCAAGCAACAGAGAAGGGGUGUGUACAGGAACAGGGCAAUGAGAAGGAUCAAAGCAGAGGCUUGUUUAUGUUAGAGAAUAGAGGGGAGAGCAAACUUCAAGUACUUCUGCAGGACAAAUAUUUGUGAUCUUGGCGUCAUUUUGUCUGAAGGCUAAGGGCUCACCACGUACUGGAUACCACGGAGAGGUCAUACUGUAAUUUAUCCCAGCUAAGAAAGAAACUGUAGCUAUUCCCGGGUAUCAGUAAUAACCCAUUUCUGUAGCAUUGCGAGGUUCAGCUCAAGACAGAGGACCACCCAGACGUACUACAAAUGUUUCUGCUAGAAUUCAAAUAAAUCACAUUUGCAGACACUAUAGUGCUUCCCAUCAGGGGUGAGAAGGGUAUGUGCAAAAUAGUGCAAGCUCUGAGGGGCUGGGAGGAGCAGUUCCCCACAUUGCCAAGGAGGGCCAUAAUGAAGACUGUCUUCCUGCUGGGAAGCACCAGAACGCGUUUAUUGAUUGGAGGUGAAUGCAGUGAAUGUAAAGUUGGGGAGUUUUGCAGUUUAAUCCGACAUCUGUCAUUCUCGGAAGAAUGAACAGUUCAAAGUAAAACCUCAUCCAUAUUGAUGUGGUCUUCCCAGUAGCUGUCCAUAACACGCGGACCAAGUUAAUUGCCCUGUUGGAAGAAUUAAGGAAAUAAUAUACUGAAGCAGCUAAUAUAAUGUCUGGCUCAAAAUGGAGAUUGAAAAAAUAUUAGCUCUCUUCUCCUUUCAAAUCGGGAAGGUAGGGGAAGCUUUGGAAGCAGACUUCUGACUGCUGGAGAAGAAAAAUAGAAAAAACAACAACGUGGAAACACAGAUGUGUGUUUCUGGUGUGCAGGGAAGUUGAAUUUUCCAUUUUGGGGAGAGGUUUUUUUUUGGUGGGGAGGAGGGAGCAAAGAUGGAGUGCCUACUUUAUUAUUAUUUUUAUCCCUCAGGUUGGCAGGUGGUGGAGAGAAUACCAAGACCUAGGCUCUCCUGAUCUCCCUGCAUCCCUGUCAUUUUUGGCAAUGUCGCUAAUCGGCCCAGCAGCCCGAAUCCACACGCCCCGGCGUCCGGGCUCUGCAAGGUGCAGCUGGUCUCAGGCCCUGUCUCAGAAUACAGAAGUAAUCAGAAUUUAUUCACGUGGGCCGACUGAGAGUUUUGACGUCAAAGGGCAAUCCUGUCUGAUUGAUACCACUCAAAUGGCAAUAUUGUUUGAAGAAAUGUAGUUAGAGAGAUGGCAAUUUAAAGGCUAUAAGAAGUUACAGGAAAAGAUUUUGUGAAUAGAGACUAUAAAGCACUCCUGUAACCUUGGCCCCAAAGAGGGCUCUCCAGACAGAAAGUUGCCUGCAUGUCCCGGUGCGUGUUUUUGAGUGUGAUACUGUUCUUCACUGCUCUGUCCCAAGAAAUCCAGCAUUGCCUAUGGCAUACCUUCUGAGGAAAGCCUUUGGGGCAAAGAAAUUACAAAAAUGAAGGGGAAAUUUGGACACAGAGCCACUCAGAGAGGGAAGAGGUCGUGAAGAGACACUGGCAGAAGAUAGCCAUGUACAAGCCAAGUAGAGAGGACUGGAACAGAUCCUUCCCUCACAGCCUCCGAGGAACCAACCUGGCCGACACCUUGAUUUCAGACUUCUGGCCUCCAGAACUGUGUGAGACAGCACAUUUCUGUUGUGGAAGCCACCCAGUCUGUGGUACUUUGUUACAGCAGCUCCAGCAAAUGCACACCAUGAGCGUGUGUGUGACUGUGGGCAUCUGAGUGUCAAUGUCAAUGUAUGUGUAGACUGGGAGUUGCUCUGGUCAUAAAUCUAAAGAUGGCUAUCAUGCUGCUCCUUUUCUUUGCUUAUCCAAUACCACUCACAUUUCGAGGCCUGCCACAAAUCCCCCUCCUUCUUGACAUCUUUCAUGGGUUCUCAGUGCUCCAGGUGCAAUUCUGGCUGCCACCAAUUAAUCGCGUGAUUCAUGGUGACCUUGAGGGAAACAACCUUUCUCAUUAAUCUUUGGGUCCCUGUAUUUGUCUUAUGGCCCAGCAUGUAGUAAGUACUCAAAUAAUAUUUGUUUGCUUCACUUAACCUUCUAUUUAAUUUUUUUUACUGUGAAAUAAAACAAAUGUAGAAAAUUGUACAAAACAAGAGUUUACAGCCCAGUGUUUUAUCACAAAGUGAACAUCUGUGUAACUACUACACAGAGCAAAAAAU